This 465-nucleotide ribosomal RNA is filed under the name uncultured Altererythrobacter sp. RNAcentral's name for it is "bacterial SSU rRNA". It matches the Rfam family "Bacterial small subunit ribosomal RNA", at positions 1 to 528 of the family's 1533-position model. The record is from RNAcentral. Lineage: Bacteria; Pseudomonadati; Pseudomonadota; Alphaproteobacteria; Sphingomonadales; Erythrobacteraceae.
CAAGAGUUUUGAUCUGGCUCAGAACGAACGCUGGCGGCAUGCCUAACACAUGCAAGUCGAACGAGACCUUCGGGUCUAGUGGCGCACGGGUGCGUAACGCGUGGGAACCUGCCUUUAGGUUCGGAAUAACUCUCCGAAAGGGGUGCUAAUACCGAAUAAUGUCUUCGGACCAAAGAUUUAUCGCCUUUAGAUGGGCCCGCGUUGGAUUAGCUAGUUGGUGGGGUAAAGGCCUACCAAGGCGACGAUCCAUAGCUGGUCUGAGAGGAUGAUCAGCCACACUGGGACUGAGACACGGCCCAGACUCCUACGGGAGGCAGCAGUGGGGAAUAUUGGACAAUGGGCGAAAGCCUGAUCCAGCAAUGCCGCGUGAGUGAUGAAGGCCUUAGGGUUGUAAAGCUCUUUUACCCGGGAUGAUAAUGACAGUACCGGGAGAAUAAGCUCCGGCUAACUCCGGCAGCGUACCGG